Molecule: long non-coding RNA, 207 nt
Organism: Etheostoma cragini (Arkansas darter)
Lineage: Eukaryota; Metazoa; Chordata; Actinopteri; Perciformes; Percidae
Exons: 2
Source: RefSeq, a predicted model, not a curated record
CAAGCGGAUCUACUGUUGCUGAAAGUUUGCAGAGAAGUUUGAGAGAAAGGCAAAGAGAGCGGAAAUGAAAGCUUGUCAGUAGACAUGAGCAAAUACUUUGUUCUCUUCUCUGAAUCACCUGAUGGCUACUGUCCAUACCUUCAAAACCUUCUUCCCAACCUAUCACUAACCACCCACUUGCUGUCACAGCACAACGCAUUACCAAAA